This 484-nucleotide ribosomal RNA is filed under the name uncultured bacterium. Its description in RNAcentral is "partial 16S ribosomal RNA". It matches the Rfam family "Bacterial small subunit ribosomal RNA", at positions 29 to 507 of the family's 1533-position model. The record is from RNAcentral.
AGUGAACGCUGGCGGCAGGCCUAACACAUGCAAGUCGAGCGGCAGCGCGGGGGCAACCCUGGCGGCGAGCGGCGGACGGGUGAGGAAUUCGUCGGAAUCUGCCUUUUUGUGGGGGGUAACGUAGGGAAACUUACGCUAAUACCGCAUACGUCCUACGGGAGAAAGUGGGGGACCGCAAGGCCUCACGCAGAAAGAUGAGCCGACGACCGAUUAGCUAGUUGGUGGGGUAAAGGCCCACCAAGGCGACGAUCGGUAGCUGGUCUGAGAGGAUGAUCAGCCACACUGGGACUGAGACACGGCCCAGACUCCUACGGGAGGCAGCAGUGGGGAAUAUUGGACAAUGGGCGCAAGCCUGAUCCAGCCAUGCCGAGUGUGUGAAGAAGGCCUUCGGGUUGUAAAGCACUUUUGUCCGGAAAGAAAUCCCUGGAGCUAAUACCUUCGGGGGAUGACGGUACCGGAAGAAUAAGCACCGGCUAACUUCGUG